RNAcentral lists this transfer RNA (66 nucleotides) under Cricetulus griseus (Chinese hamster). It matches the Rfam family "tRNA". From Rfam's summary of the family: Transfer RNA (tRNA) molecules are approximately 80 nucleotides in length. Their secondary structure includes four short double-helical elements and three loops (D, anti-codon, and T loops). Further hydrogen bonds mediate the characteristic L-shaped molecular structure. tRNAs have two regions of fundamental functional importance: the anti-codon, which is responsible for specific mRNA codon recognition, and the 3' end, to which the tRNAs corresponding amino acid is attached (by aminoacyl-tRNA synthetases). tRNAs cope with the degeneracy of the genetic code in two manners: having more than one tRNA (with a specific anti-codon) for a particular amino acid; and 'wobble' base-pairing, i.e. permitting non-standard base-pairing at the 3rd anti-codon position. Lineage: Eukaryota; Metazoa; Chordata; Mammalia; Rodentia; Cricetidae. The record is from Rfam by way of RNAcentral.
GCUAGCUCAGUUGGUAGAGUAUGAGACUCAAUCUCAGGGUCGUGGGUUCGUGCCCCACAUUGAGCA